CAACAUUUCUCUGACUCUCUCUGGCUCUUCUGUUAGAGAGUUAGUAGCACCUUUUUGUGCUGCUCUUCCUGGUUGGUGAUGGUCGUAGCUCGUGUGCUUGGCUCUGGAGUCUGUUGGCUCCACCUUCCAGAAACUGCGUGGCCCUCCAUAUUCUUGGAAGUUCAGUUCAUGGUCUCUUGACAUCUUUUCUUCAUGGUCAACUUUAUUUUCAAGAUUAUAUAUUUUGUCUUCAUUGCCUGAAACUCUGUCUUCCAUCUGUUGGUGAUGCUCUCCGUUGAAUUUUUAAUUUGGUUUAUUGAUUCCUUCAUUCUGAGAAUUUCUUCUUGGGUGUUUUUUUUCAGAACCUCCAUCUCUUUAUUGAGGUGAUCUUUCAUGUCCUGCAUUUCCUCGGAUUUCUCUCCUCACAGCGUCCUUGACCUCGAAGGUGGCCCUGCAGAACCUAGUUCCACCCCACGCCCUGUGCUCUUCUGCAGGGUGUCUUCUUGAUGCGUCCUCUCCAUGCUGACCCUGUGGGCUGCCCACUCCUCUUGCAUCCUCACUCCAGGCAAGGGUGAUUUCCGUUCGUCUACACAACUGAGUUAGCAAUUAACUCACUCAGAUUUUGUCUGAAAACAAAUGUCUUUGCCUUUAUUUCUGCUCAGGAUAGAAUUCAAGACUGGCCGUCCUAUAACCCCAGCAUUUUAGCAGUUGUCCCACUGUCCUCUGUC
This 707-nucleotide long non-coding RNA is filed under the name Marmota monax (woodchuck). Lineage: Eukaryota; Metazoa; Chordata; Mammalia; Rodentia; Sciuridae. The record is from RNAcentral.